Molecule: non-coding RNA, 4554 nt
Organism: Podarcis lilfordi (Lilford's wall lizard)
Lineage: Eukaryota; Metazoa; Chordata; Lepidosauria; Squamata; Lacertidae
Source: the annotation of a GenBank genome assembly
UGCUCAGCUAUAUUCACAUCUGGAUAAAGACACCCUCUUUUAUCUGCAAUAUUUGUAAUCUGUAUAACAGCAGUUUAUAUGAGAUGACUAGGCCAUCUGUACAUUCAUUGAAAUGUGAUUUGAGUGCCUAUAAUGUAAUAUGAGUCACAGACAAUUGUCUUAUAUCUUAUUUGACUUCCUAGUAAAUGCAACGCAAAAACCAGCUAGAGGAUAAUAUGGUGCCUAUCAUGUCAGGACAAAUAUGUUAGAGAUUCAAAUGACAGGUGUCUGAAAAACCUAGAUUCUCUCAGCAAAUAAUACACCCUAAAUAAUCAAGUGACCACAUCUGUUUUGAUUACUGGUUGCCUGGUUACCUGCAUUGUAGCUUGGAUGUGAGGACAUACAAUCACAGAAAUAGUUUAGGUGUAGUUCUGCUUCUGUGUUAAAGCAAACGUCUCUAUAUUAACAUUGAAAGGGAAUCAUUAACAUGCUGUGCAACCCAAUCUGAAAUAUCACUUACCCAAUGAAUUUUGAAACCGCUUCUACUAUCAAUGGCCAUUUCUGAGACAAAGGCUUUGAUGCUGCUAUUCAAAUGCAAGCAGAAAAUGCUGUAAAUCUUAAAUUUCCCCAAUAAUGUAAUCCCAGAUUUGCAUAUGGAACCACAGAUCAGCAGUUCUCCCUGAGUGUAAGGGUGUGAUUUUGUGCAUCUGAUGUGAAGAGAAACAGAAAUAUGGCACAAUAACUUUGUGCUGAUUCAUACUGGAAAUAACAGCUCUAACAACAGCAACGAAAGCCAAACAUUAUGGCUGCUGAGACACUGAGAAAGAGAGCUAAUACCAGAUUUGCCUUUCUCCCUGUUUAAAAAGCCAGCAUUAGUCUAGGAGAUUUUCUUGGAAUGAUUGAAAUACUAAUGCAGUCCAGAAACAGGAUAAGUCUGAGUCCCUAAAUUUAAGCUGGUUAAGUACUCAUGAACUCUGCUCCAUUUCACCUAUUUAGUUGGUUUGUGAACUUCUGUGCCUAGCCCAGGCAACAGCUAUAGAGCUUUUGUUUGCGCAAAACAAAAGGGCAACAGUAGAAAAAAGAGAAGAGAUUAAACUAGGAUUUGUCGUCGUCGUCUUCUUCUUUGGCGAUCGCUUGUAGCCGAGUAAGAUUGUCUCCCAUAAACACGGUUUUAACAAUGAGUCCGUAGUGGGAAGUUUUCCACUGGAGAUCUGUAAUUAUAUUUGAGUAGAAAACUUACUUCUGUUAUUUUUGAGAAAUUCUAAAGCAAAUGCUAACCUAUGUUGGGGAUGGAGAACCUGUCCAGGCCUUUUUGCAGUUUUUAUUUCUUCCUACAUAUUUGCAGUUGCUUCAGCAAACAAAUGCACACUUGUAAAUUGACUUCACAAUAUGUACUUUCCAAUAAACAAGUGGUGAAGUUAGGGCAGCAUUUGGGGGCAGCAUACCAUCCAAGUGUCCCAAUUUUGUUGGGACGACUCCAAAAUUCCUAAAGCCGUCAUGGCUUCUGACUUGACCUCUGGGCGCCCCGAUUUCUCCUGGGCAGCGGAUGGGGGCCGCAGAAGCAGCUCCUGGGGCGGCAAUGGCAUUGGGAGGAGGCCUGUGGGCUCCUUCCCAAAGCAUAGCUAGUGCUUACUAGGCUUUGGGAAGAAGGCGGGUGGACUCUAAGGCCCCUUCAGAGCCCUCACGCCUCCUGUUUGAAGCCGUACAAACCCUUCCUCUUGCUGCUUUCUUCAGGUGAGGGAGAAUGGGCUUGCCUCCACUCCUAUGCCUGCAAUUCCAGUCUGUCUAACUACCGUGGUACCUCGGGUUACAUACGCUUCAGGUUACAAACUCCGCUAAUCCAGAAAUAGUACCUCGGGUUAAGAACUUUGCUUCAGGAUGAGAACAGAAAUCAUGUGGCGCGGCAGCGGCGGGAGGCCCCAUUAGCUAAAGUGGUACCUCAGGUUAAGAACAGUUUCAGGUUAACGGACCUCCAGAACGAAUUAAGUACUUAACCCGAGGUAUCACUGUAUUGUAAAGGUUUCUCUGGCCGGUUCAGUGUCUUGCGGUCUCGUUUCUAGUUUCUCCCAGCUUUGUUGUUAGCUGAUAACCAAUUUGUAACCUGCAAAAUGUAAGCCGGCUAACGACACCAAGAAGAAGAAAACCUACGUUUCCUCCUUCUUGUGUUCAGCUGCUGAGUGCAGUCUGUCGGUUUCCUGGCUGCGUUUGCGGCAUUGCAGUGAAGCUGCACAUUAUCCUCGAUCCCUAACUGAUAGGAACGGGCUGAGAGGGGAAAGCAACGGAGGGACUAGCUUGCGCAUGUGCGGUGCAUGAGGUCCAGUGCUGCGGCAGUUCGGUUGUGUGAUUUCGGGGGGAGCUGCAUGUGUGGAAAGGAGAGUGGGAUGGAGGCUGGGAAGCAGCAAACUGCCCUCUUGCGCCCCCUGGCACUGGUGGCGGGUUGGUGAGGGGAUGAGAGCAAUGAAACGGGCACCUUCAAAGUGUGGAGCUGGUGCGGCUGAGGCUGAAAAGUCGUGGCGAACACCCAACUCCGACACACUUCUGAGGUGGGGGAAGGAGGAAGAGAGCAUGUUGUAGUUCUGUCACAAACCCCUAAAAAAUGACUCUGUGUGUUUAUACCUGCCAACAUUCCUCAGAUGAAAAUGUCUCUGUUUUUAUCUGAGGGAUGUUGGAGGGUAUGGGGAAGAGGUCCAGGGCCUCACUCUGCAGAAUGAGCAAGUGGGGUCCCCCCCCAAAGCAACAGGGCUGGCUCACCCCAUUUCGAAGUAAGUGAAAUAAUAACACGUAAUCAUCUAAAGAGUGGGCCCCAUUAAGUCCAGAGUCAAAAAUUAUCGAACUAUACCAUGGUGAGAAACAUUAAAAGGGACCGGCGUAACACAGGCAAACGGUCAUAUAGGUUUGAGGGUGUUUUGUAUCUUACAUCUCUGCGUAAUUUUCUGCAAACCUGGAAAGAAUAUGAAUGUAUGACGGCCAGAAGAAAACACAACUGUGAAGGCAUGUGUUUUUCGCCUCGGCACCAAUUAAUUUUAAUGAAGUUUGCCUUGGAAAACGUUUAUGUAUGCAGCAUCUCAUUCUGUGUCCAGUGAUAAGCGCUGUUAUGCCUGGGUUUCUUAGCAUGAAAGUGUUUUGUGCCUCAGAAAAUAGACACUAUAGCUUUAUACGUAAGUAGCAAGCUGCCAAGGAGAAGAAGAAAACAAUCUGUUAAAAAUUCUCUACUGAGUCAGAAAAUCUCUAAAACUGGUAGCUGUAGAGAAUUCCCUAUUUAUAGAGAAUGUGUACAGGCAUGUCUCUUAGUCAGUAAAUCAGGGCCAUGAACUUGGGUAAAAGCCUUGGCUGCUAAAUGCAACGUUUUUCUUGCAAAUGCAUUUAGGGGUAGCAGGUUUUGUGUGAUUUGCGUCCAAUGUUUUCCCAACAGGCGUAGGAGGAGAAUGUUCAUUUUUGAGGAAUGCAUUUGUUCCUUACAUUUCCCAGAGUUCUGGUCACAGCUAGAUUUCUUGAAGGGGCUGCAAUGCCACUGGAGUUUUAGGGGAAAGCAAGGGCUUGGACUCCAAAUGGCCUGCUAGCAUGAAGAGCAGGCACCAGUGCUAUUUUUCUAGAAAAAGAGGUGCCGGAACUCACCAUGAAUGCCUCACUUGUUCUCUUAUAAUGGCAAUGGUGUCCACCUGAGAGGUGCCAGAACUGGGUUCUGGCAAGUUCCGGCUGAAAAAAAAGCCCUAUCAGACCCUGAAUCUUUCGAAGUGGCCCAAGUCUUUUUGGAUAGAUAAUGAAUUUGAGAGAAACUGAAUUAGGGGGACAAUCUGGGUUACUGAGUAGGCUAGUAAUUUGUGGAAUAGAUUAAUUUAAGAUGAUUCAAUUUAGAUACAAGUCCGAAGGUUAUGAAUGGCAGUAAUUGAAUUGAUUUGGAACAGGAUUUGUGGAGCAAUUAAUUGAGGGGGAGGGAAGAAUUGAUGAGGAACAGAUUUAGGGUAGUCUGGGGUGGGAUGCAGAUUAAUUGAACAGAUUACAUGGGGUAAUGGGUGGCUUGCCUUCUGUAACACUUGUAUUAUUAAUUUGCAUCUUGCAUAGAAACUUGGCAUAUGCAAAUAUGUUUACGUAUGGCCCAUGUCCCAAAUCUUUAAAGUGUCUAGCAGUGCUUAUUGCCAGAGACACCAUCCUAGGCACAAACAUUUCUCACCUGAUUUGGCAGAGUGAAUGGUUCCUCUGAGGUGGUUAGAUUUUGCCUAAGGGGUUAAGUAUCGGACAAUAACUACAUACAGUACAACAAUUGUGCUUUCAUAUUAAUGGUUCUGCUUACUGUUUUGUUGAAACUACUGAUGCAAUUAUUCCCCAUUCUAUUUCCUCCUCUCUGGUUUUGUGGCCUUUUGUAUUUCUUUGCAGAGGUAACUCUGAGGAAGGGUCAUAGCUCCAUGGUAGACCACAUGACUUGCAGAUAAAAGACCCUAGGUUGAACCCCCGCCCUCCAAUCUUCACGUAGAGCUGAAAACCCUGGCUGAAACCCUGGAGACCUGCUCCAAUCAGGAUGGACAAGACGGGGCUGUGUUUAUUUAUUUUAAAUAUUUUCUAAAUUUCUUAGUAUUU